RNAcentral lists this ribosomal RNA (811 nucleotides) under uncultured bacterium. RNAcentral describes it as "bacterial SSU rRNA". It matches the Rfam family "Bacterial small subunit ribosomal RNA", at positions 10 to 816 of the family's 1533-position model. The record is from RNAcentral.
AGUUUGAUCCUGGCUCAGGAUGAACGCUGGCGGCGUGCCUAACACAUGCAAGUCGAACGGAGUUCUUAAGGAAUGCGACUUCGGUCAAAUGACUUUUGAACUUAGUGGCGGACGGGUGAGUAACGCGUGAGCAACCUGCCUUUCAGAGGGGGAUAACAUUUGGAAACAUAUGCUAAUACCGCAUAAGAUUACAGUACCGCAUGAUACAGUGAUCAAAGGAGCAAUCCGCUGAAAGAUGGGCUCGCGUCCGAUUAGAUAGUUGGUGAGGUAACGGCUCACCAAGUCGACGAUCGGUAGCCGGACUGAGAGGUUGAACGGCCACAUUGGGACUGAGACACGGCCCAGACUCCUACGGGAGGCAGCAGUGGGGAAUAUUGCACAAUGGGCGAAAGCCUGAUGCAGCAACGCCGCGUGAGGGAAGACGGUUUUCGGAUUGUAAACCUCUGUUUUCGGUGACGAACAAAUGACGGUAACCGAGUAGGAAGCCACGGCUAACUACGUGCCAGCAGCCGCGGUAAUACGUAGGUGGCAAGCGUUAUCCGGAAUUACUGGGUGUAAAGGGAGCGCAGGCGGGAUAGCAAGUCAGCUGUGAAAACUAUGGGCUCAACCCAUAAACUGCAGUUGAAACUGUUAUUCUUGAGUGGAGUAGAGGCAAGCGGAAUUCCGAGUGUAGCGGUGAAAUGCGUAGAUAUUCGGAGGAACACCAGUGGCGAAGGCGGCUUGCUGGGCUCUAACUGACGCUGAGGCUCGAAAGUGUGGGGAGCAAACAGGAUUAGAUACCCUGGUAGUCCACACUGUAAACGAUGAAUGC